GGAGAAAAGCAGGGGAUCGCAAGACCUUGCGCUAAAGGAGCGGCCGAUGUCUGAUUAGUUAGUUGGUGGGGUAAAGGCCUACCAAGGCAACGAUCAGUAGCUGGUCUGAGAGGACGAUCAGCCACACUGGGACUGAGACACGGCCCAGACUCCUACGGGAGGCAGCAGUGGGGAAUUUUGGACAAUGGGCGAAAGCCUGAUCCAGCCAUGCCGCGUGAAUGAAGAAGGCCUUCGGGUUGUAAAGUUCUUUUAGUUGGAAAGAAAAAAUUAUGAUGAAUAAUCAUAAUUCAUGACGGUACCGACAGAAAAAGCACCGGCUAACUACGUGCCAGCAGCCGCGGUAAUACGUAGGGUGCAAGCGUAAUCGGUAAUACUGGGCGUAAAGGGGGA
RNAcentral lists this ribosomal RNA (390 nucleotides) under uncultured Nitrosomonas sp. RNAcentral describes it as "bacterial SSU rRNA". It matches the Rfam family "Bacterial small subunit ribosomal RNA", at positions 198 to 570 of the family's 1533-position model. The record is from RNAcentral. Lineage: Bacteria; Pseudomonadati; Pseudomonadota; Betaproteobacteria; Nitrosomonadales; Nitrosomonadaceae.